Molecule: ribosomal RNA, 2173 nt
Filed under: human gut metagenome
Description: bacterial LSU rRNA
Rfam family: Bacterial large subunit ribosomal RNA
Source: RNAcentral
UGAGGGGAACCGCCUGAACUGAAACAUCUAAGUAGGGCGAGGAAGAGAAAUCAACUGAGAUUCCGUAAGUAGUGGCGAGCGAACGCGGAAGAGGCCAAACCUAAUGUAGUAAUAUGUUAGGGGUUCGGACAGUAGAAUGAAUUGUCGAGAUUUAGCCGAAUGUCAUGGGAAGGGCAAUCAAAGAAGGUGAAAAUCCUGUAGGCGAAAAGUUAAGACAUCAGACUGUAUCCAGAGUACCGCCGGACACGUGAAACCCGGUGGGAAUAUGGGGGGACCAUCCUCCAAGCCUAAAUACUACUCGGUGACCGAUAGAGAAGAAGUACUGUGAAGGAAAGGUGAAAAGCACCCCGGAAGGGGAGUGAAAGAGAACCUGAAACCUUGUGUUUACAAGCACCGAAAGUUCAUCAACGAACGAUCGGGUACCUUUUGUAGAAUGGUCCGGCGAGUGAAUGUAACUGGCAAGGUUAAGCACUUAAGGUGUGAAGCCGUAGCGAGAGCGAGUCUGAAAAGGGCGCAUGAAGUCAGUUGUAUUCGACCCGAAACCGGGUGACCUACCCAUGUCCAGGCUGAAGUGCAGGUAAAACUUCAUGGAGGGCCGAACCGACUCCCGUUGAAAUGGUAGCGGAUGAGGUGUGGGUAGCGGAGAAAUUCCAAUCGAACCCGGAGAUAGCUGGUUCUCUCCGAAAUAGCUUUAGGGCUAGCCUUGGAAUAGAUUACUGGAGGUAAAGCACUGAAUUGGCUAGGGGCCGAGAGGUUACUGAACCUUAUCAAACUAAGAAUGCCAGAUAAUCGUUUUCCAGGAGUCAGACAGUGGGAGAUAAGUUUCAUUGUCAAAAGGGAAACAGCCCAGACCUACAGCUAAGGUCCCAAAGUAUAGUUAAGUGGAAAAGGAUGUGGAAUUGCAUAGACAACCAGGAUGUUGGCUUAGAAGCAGCCACUCAUUAAAAGAGUGCGUAAUAGCUCACUGGUCGAGUGAUUCUGCGCCGAAAAUUUAACGGGGCUAAACUAUACACCGAAGCUUAGGAUACCGCAAGGUAUGGUAGGAGAGCGUUCUGUACGGAGUGAAGUCGUAGCGAAAGCGGCGGUGGACUGUACAGAAGUGAGAAUGCCGGAAUAAGUAGCGAGAAUUAAGUGAGAAUCUUAAUGGCCGAAAGUCUAAGGUUUUUGGAGGAAGGUUCGUCCGCUCCAAGUAAGUCGGGAGCUAAGGUCAGGCCGAAAGGCGUAGCCGAUGCACAAACGGUUGAUAUUCCGUUACCGUCUACAAUUUAAACAAAGGGACACAUACAAAGCGUUUAACCCGGGCGAUGGUUGACCCGGGCGCAAGGGACUGAAAUAAGAGUAGGGAAGUAAAUGUGGCGUAUGGCGAGAAAAGCUUUGUGAAUAGAAGUAGACGCCCGUACCGCAAACCGACACAGGUGGACAGGAAGAGAAUUCUAAGGCCAGCGGGAGAAGGGUAGUUAAGGAACUCGGCAAAUUGACUCCGUAACUUCGGAAUAAGGAGUGCUCGAAAGAGCCGCAGAGAAUAGGCCCAGGCGACUGUUUAGCAAAAACACAGGUCUCUGCCAAAUCGAAAGAUGAAGUAUAGGGGCUGACACCUGCCCGGUGCCGGAAGGUUAAGAGGAGGAGUGCAAGCUCCGAAUUGAAGCCCCGGUAAACGGCGGCCGUAACUAUAACGGUCCUAAGGUAGCGAAAUUCCUUGUCGGGUAAGUUCCGACCCGCACGAAUGGUGUAACGAUCUGGGCACUGUCUCAACUACCCACCCGGCGAAAUUGUAGUACCGGUGAAGAUGCCGGUUACCUGCGGCAAGACGGAAAGACCCCAUGGAGCUUUACUGUAGCCUGAUAUUGGGUUUCGGAAAUCUAUGUACAGGAUAGGCGGGAGACUGGGAAGUAUGAGCGUCAGCUUAUACGGAGUCAUUGUUGGGAUACCGCCCUUAGGUUUCUGGAAUUCUAACCUGCGACCGUGAAUCCGGUCGGGGGACAUUGUCAGGUGGGCAGUUUGACUGGGGCGGUCGCCUCCGAAAAGGUAACGGAGGCGCUCAAAGGUUGGCUCAGCACGGACGGAAACCGUGCCUCAGAGUGUAAACGCAAAAGCCAGCCUAACUGCGAGGAUGACGGUCCGAGCAGUAACGAAAGUUGGAGUUAGUGAUCCGGCGGUAUGUGAAUGGAAAUGC